UGGGUGUCCAGCGGCGAGGGAUGUGUGUUCCCAGGUCAACAGCCGUUCUCUCACCCCCGUGGGGAUGUAGCUGCGCUCUGGAGGGCAGGUAGAAGGAGCGGGUUCCCUCUCCAGAACCUGGUGGAUGCCCACAUCUAUGUCCCAAAACAUGAGCCAACAAUAUGGGAGGAUCGAUUGAUGGGCUGGAGGACACUCACAGGACCCUCCACCGACGUGGAACCACAGGGUGUGGGAAAGAAUGUUCUCCAGCAUCCUGGCCCCCGGGCAGUGAUUGUCACCUUUGACCUUUGCGGUUAUUAAGUUGGAGCCAAGGGAGACGGAAGGUCACGGGGUAGGCGUGGACCCCAGGUUGGAAUGCACCGGACACCUCCUGGCCGCAAUAGGGACAGAGUCUCAGCUGUCUAAGGCGACCCCGCUUUGACGUGAAGAAGUGUGUGGCCCCAACCUCCAUGAUUUCAGGCUCUGCCUCAGGACAGCCAAAGGAGGGAGGUGAGUGACGAGGUGGACACCGGAGCUCCCGAAGAAGGUUUUCCAGACGGAUGGCCAUCACGAUGAGAGCGUCCAAGGAUAUUUUGUCCUUUGUCUGACAUGCCAACUCCAUCUGGACCUCUUUGCGCAGUCCACCACAGAAUAGAGUACAGAGCGCCAGCUCCUUCUACCAGCUGGAGGCCGCCACAGUCCAAAAGGUGAGGCGGUACUCUGGGCAUCCUGCUGGAGUUGUGAAAGUCACUCACCUCCUUCUGCCCUCUGGAGGAUGGUUGAAGACCACCUGAACGGAGCCAUGAACCUCUCAUGGGAACCCAGCUCCUCCUCUCCUCUCUCCCAGAUGCCGUAGCCCACUCCAACACUAGUCUGGUCAGCAGAGAAAUGACCGUGGUAACCUUGGACCUCUCGGUGGUGGGGGCUCCCAUCUGAUAGGCGAAAUAGAGGGAGCGCUGGAGUAGGAAGCAACGGCAUUUCAAUGGAGUGCCGUUAAUACUUCUCCGGAAGGGACAGUCGGGCAUCGCUGACCUGGGUGGACGGCUGGGUAGGUUGGGGGACUGGCUCACUGUGACGACCUGUGGUAGGAGGCCCUCCAUCAGAGGUAAGGAGUAGGUCAACCGAUUAAUUUGAAUGGCCGAUUAAUUAGGGACGAUUUCAGGUUUUCAUAACAAUCGGCAAUCAGCAUUUUUGGACACCGAUCAUGGCCGAUUACAUUGCACUCCACGAGGAGACUGCGUGGCAGCAAGGAGCCAAGGUAAGGUGCAAGCUAGCAUUAAACAUAUCUUAUAAAAAACAAUCAAUCUUAACAUAAUCACUAGUUAACUACACAUGGUUGAUGAUAUUACUAGUUUAUCUAGCUUGUCCUGCAUUGCAUAUAAUCGAUGCGGUGCCUGUUAAUUUAUCAUUGAAUCACAGCCUACUUCGUCAAAUGGGGGAUUUAACAAGCGCAUUCGCAAAAAAAAUCACUGUCGUUGCACCAAUGUGUACCUAACCAUAAACAUCAACGCCUUUCUUAAAAUCAAUACACAAGUAUAUAUUUUUAAAGCCGCAUAUUUAGUUAAUAUUGCCUGCUAACAUGAAUUCCUUUUAACUAGGGAAAUUGUGUCACUUCUCUUGCGUUCUGUGCAACAGAGUCAGGGUAUAUGCAACAGUUUGGGCCGCCUGGCUCGUUGCGAACUAAUUUGCCAGAAUUUUACAUAAUUAUGACAUAACAUUGAAGGUUGUGCAAUGUAACAGCAAUAUUUAGAGUUAUGGAUGCCACCCAUUAGAUAAAAUACGGAACGGUUCUGUGUUUCACAGAAAGAAUAAACGUUUUAUUUUCUAAAUGAUAGUUUCUGGAUUUGACCAUAUUAAUGACCUAAGGCUCGUAUUUCUGUGUGUUAUUAUAUUAUAAUUAAGUCUAUGAUUUGAUAGAGCAGUCUGACUGAGCGGUGGUAGGCAGCAUCAGGCUCGUAAGCAUUCAUUCAAACAGCACUUUACUGCGUUUGCCAGCAGCUCUUUGCAAUGCUUCAAGAAUUGCGCUGUUUAUGACUUCAAGCCUAACAAUUCCCGAGAUUAGGCUGGCAAUGCUAAAGUACCUAUUAGAACAUCCAAUAGUCAAAGGUAUAUGAAAUACAAAUGGUAUAGAGAGUGAUAGUUCUAUAAAACUACAACCUAAAACUUCUUACCUGGGAAUAUUGAAGACUCAUGUUAAAAGGAACCACCAGCUUUCAUAUGUUCUCAUGUUCUGAGCAAGGAACUUAAACGCUUUUUUACAUGGCUGUCACGCCCUGACCAUAGAGAGCUGUUUAUUCUCUGUGUUGGUUAGGUCGGGGUGUGAUUAAGGGUGGGUUAUCUAGGGGAAUUAUGUGUCUAUUUUGGCCUGGUAUGGUUCCCAAUCAGAGGCAGCUGUUUAUCGUUGUCUCUGAUUGGGGAUCAUAUUUAGGUAGGCAUUUCCCCAUUGUGCUUUGUGGGAUCUUAACUUUGCAUAGUUGCCUGUGAGCACUAUGUUAGCUUCACGUUUCGUUUUCUUCUGUUUUGUUUGGUGAGUUUUAUUAUUUAUUAAACGUGGAAUUCUACACACCCUGCGCCUUGGUCCAAUCAUUAUGACGAUCGUGACAGAAGAUCCCACCACAACAGGACCAAGCAGCGUGCUCGGGAGGAGAUGGCAUCCUGGUCUUUGAAGGAGAUCAGGGAGAGAAUAGCCUGGACUUGGGAAGACAUAAUGGCAGGAGACAAUAGCCUGCCAUGGAAGCAGGCGGAAGCAGCGAAGGAGGGACAGCGACAAAGUCGGGGAGGAAGGCCACAGAAACCCCAAUAAAAAAUUUGGGUGGGGGCACAUGGAGCAGUGGGCGGAGCCGAGGAGUGAACCAGAGUCAGUCUGGGAGAAGAAGGAGACUUUGGAGGAGAGAGAAAAGGGAGAGUUGUUGAGUUGGUGGAGGAUGCACGGAUUUGGACUAAAGGAACGUGUUAUCAGUUUGGUGCCACAUGAGUCAGCUCCCCGUACUCGUCAUGAGAAGUGUGUUAAAGUUGCGGAACUAUUGAUGCCGGCUAUACGCACCAGGUCUCCAAUGCACCUUCACAACCCAGUACGUCCUCUGCCUGCUCCUCACACUCUCCUUCAAGUGCGCUUUCCAUGUCAGGUGCGUCCUGUUCCUGCUCCUCGCACUCUCCUUGGAGUGCAUGUCCACAGUCCAGUAUGUCCUGUGCCUCCUCCCCGCACUCGCCCUGAGGUGCGUGUCAUCAGCCCGGUACCACCAGUGCCGGUCACAUGCAUCAGGCCUCCAGUGUGCCUCCACAGUCCAGUACGUCCUGUGCCUCCCCGCACUCGACCUGAGGUGCGUGUCACCUCACGCAUCAGGCCUCCAGUGCGCCUCCACAGUCCAGUACGUCCUGUGCCUGCUCCUCGCGCUCAUCCUGAGGUGUAUGUCACCAGCCUGGUACCACCAGUGCCGGCCCCACGCACCAAGCUUCCGGGGACAGUUCCCAGUCCAGAGCUUCCGGCGACAGUUCCCAGUCCUGAGAUGGUCCACAGUCUGGAACCUCCUGCGACGGUCCACGGUCCAGAACCUCCAGCUCCAGGGCAGGAGCCUUCCUCUGCGCCGAGUCCCAGUCCGAGCACGGCGUCCAGUCCCACUCCGUGGCAGGAGCCUUCCUCUGCGCCGAUGCCCAGUUCAAGCACGGCGUCCAGUCCAGCUCCAUGGCAGGAGCCCUUCUCUGCGCUGAUGCCCAGUCCAGGCACGGCGUCCAGUCACGCUCCAUGGCAGGAGCCUUCCUCUGCGCCGGUGCCCAGUCCGGGCACGGCAUUCUACCCGGUACCAUAUCCGCAAGGGAGUGGGUACUUCGCCCCGCACUGGAGCCGCCCCCGACGUUAGAUGCCCACCCGGACCCUCCCCUACUGAGUCUGGUUUGAGUCCACACCUUUGGGGGGAGGGGGGAGAUACUGUCACGCCCUGACCAUAGAAAGCAUUUAUUCUCAAUGGUGGUUAGGUCGGGGUGUGACUAGGGUGGGUUAUUAGGUUAUUGUAUGUCUAUGUUGGCCUGGUAUGGUUCCCAAUCAGAGACAGCUGUUUAUCGUUGUCUCUGAUUGGGGAUCAUAUUUAGGCAGCCAUUUUCCCCACUGUGUUUUGUGGGAUCUUGUUUGUGUCUAGUGGCCUGUGAGCACUCCAUGACUUCACGUUUUCGUUAUUUUUUUUUGCUCUUUAUUGUUUUCGUGAGUUUCAUUUCAAUGAAACAUGUGGAGCUCUGCCUUGGUCCGACAUUCAUUAUAACGACCGUGACAGUUCAUUGUUCAUUCAGUAUUGUUGUAAUUGUCAUUAUUACAAAUAUAAAUUAAUCGGCCAAUUUUUUUGGGAUCCUCCAUUAAUCGGUAUCGGCGCUGAAAAAUCAUAAUCGGCUGACCUCUAGUAUUGAGAACCUCGCUGGUGGUGUCGAGGCGGUGGAGAAGGCGGAGGAUUUCCUUCAUGGUCGUACCCAGUGGAGCCAGCUGGUCGUGGAGUACGGUGUCCAUUUCCCAACAAUUGUGGUAUUACAAAGAGAAGGUAAAUUAAGUAAAAUAGGUUACGCAUCAUUGUUUGAUAAUUAAUAUAUUGUUCGAAACAUGUUUCAAAUAUACGAUGAAAAGAGACCAUACUCUCACUUGUUACAAUAAUCUGCUCCGAGUGGAUUGUGAAGCAUGAAGCAAAAU
Long non-coding RNA from Oncorhynchus tshawytscha (Chinook salmon), 4648 nucleotides. NCBI's taxonomy places the organism in Eukaryota, Metazoa, Chordata, Actinopteri, Salmoniformes, Salmonidae. The record is from Ensembl.